GGUCCAUUAGCUCAGUUGGCUAGAGCGUCGUGCUGAUAACGCGAAGGUCGUGAGUUCGAGCCUCACAUGGACCA
Molecule: transfer RNA, 74 nt
Filed under: Amphimedon queenslandica
Lineage: Eukaryota; Metazoa; Porifera; Demospongiae; Haplosclerida; Niphatidae
Description: tRNA-Ile
Rfam family: tRNA
About the family: Transfer RNA (tRNA) molecules are approximately 80 nucleotides in length. Their secondary structure includes four short double-helical elements and three loops (D, anti-codon, and T loops). Further hydrogen bonds mediate the characteristic L-shaped molecular structure. tRNAs have two regions of fundamental functional importance: the anti-codon, which is responsible for specific mRNA codon recognition, and the 3' end, to which the tRNAs corresponding amino acid is attached (by aminoacyl-tRNA synthetases). tRNAs cope with the degeneracy of the genetic code in two manners: having more than one tRNA (with a specific anti-codon) for a particular amino acid; and 'wobble' base-pairing, i.e. permitting non-standard base-pairing at the 3rd anti-codon position.
Source: Rfam by way of RNAcentral